This 63-nucleotide transfer RNA is filed under the name Blastocatellia bacterium. RNAcentral's name for it is "tRNA-Met". It matches the Rfam family "tRNA", at positions 6 to 65 of the family's 71-position model. From Rfam's summary of the family: Transfer RNA (tRNA) molecules are approximately 80 nucleotides in length. Their secondary structure includes four short double-helical elements and three loops (D, anti-codon, and T loops). Further hydrogen bonds mediate the characteristic L-shaped molecular structure. tRNAs have two regions of fundamental functional importance: the anti-codon, which is responsible for specific mRNA codon recognition, and the 3' end, to which the tRNAs corresponding amino acid is attached (by aminoacyl-tRNA synthetases). tRNAs cope with the degeneracy of the genetic code in two manners: having more than one tRNA (with a specific anti-codon) for a particular amino acid; and 'wobble' base-pairing, i.e. permitting non-standard base-pairing at the 3rd anti-codon position. The record is from RNAcentral. Lineage: Bacteria; Pseudomonadati; Acidobacteriota; Blastocatellia.
GGUAGCUCAGCCGGUUAGAGCGUGGGAUUCAUAACCCCAAGGUCGGCAGUUCGAUCCUGCCCC